This 483-nucleotide ribosomal RNA is filed under the name uncultured bacterium. RNAcentral's name for it is "partial 16S ribosomal RNA". It matches the Rfam family "Bacterial small subunit ribosomal RNA", at positions 30 to 507 of the family's 1533-position model. The record is from RNAcentral.
AUUGAACGCUGGCGGCAGGCCUAACACAUGCAAGUCGAGCGGAUGAAGGGUGCUUGCUCCUGGUUUCAGCGGCGGACGGGUGGGUAAUGCCUAGGAAUCUGCCUGGUAGUGGUGGAUAACGUCCGGAAACGGGCGCUCAUACCGCAUACGUCCUGAGGGAGAAAGUGGGGGAUCUUCGGACCUCACGCUAUCAGAUGAGCCUAGGUCGGAUUAGCUAGUUGGUGGGGUAAAGGCCUACCAAGGCGACGAUCCGUAACUGGUCUGAGAGGAUGAUCAGUCACACGGAAACUGGGAAAGGGUCCGGACUCCUACGGAGGGCAGAGGUGGGAAAUAUUGGAAAAGGGGGGAAGGCCUAAUCCGGCCAUGCGGGGGGGGUGAAGAAGGUCUUGGGAUGGUAAAGCAUUUUAUGUGGGAAGAAAAGCCAGUAAGUUAAUACCUGGCUGUUUGAAGGUAACCAACAGAAUAGGCACGGCUAAACUUCUG